UGGGGAAUAUUGCACAAUGGGCGCAAGCCUGAUGCAGCCAUGCCGCGUGUAUGAAGAAGGCCUUCGGGUUGUAAAGUACUUUCAGCGGGGAGGAAGGUGUUGAGGCUAAUAACCUCAGCAAUUGACGUUACCCGCAGAAGAAGCACCGGCUAACUCCGUGCCAGCAGCCGCGGUAAUACGGAGGGUGCAAGCGUUAAUCGGAAUUACUGGGCGUAAAGCGCACGCAGGCGGUCUGUCAAGUCGGAUGUGAAAUCCCCGGGCUCAACCUGGGAACUGCAUUCGAAACUGGCAGGCUAGAGUCUUGGAGAGGGGGGUAGAAUUCCAGGUGUAGCGGUGAAAUGCGUAGAGAUCUGGAGGAAUACCGGUGGCGAAGGCGGCCCCCUGGACAAAGACUGACGCUCAGGUGCGAAAGCGUGGGGAGCAAACA
This 427-nucleotide ribosomal RNA is filed under the name uncultured bacterium. RNAcentral describes it as "partial 16S ribosomal RNA". It matches the Rfam family "Bacterial small subunit ribosomal RNA", at positions 355 to 774 of the family's 1533-position model. The record is from RNAcentral.